This 24-nucleotide non-coding RNA is filed under the name Arabidopsis thaliana (thale cress). The record is from RNAcentral. Lineage: Eukaryota; Viridiplantae; Streptophyta; Magnoliopsida; Brassicales; Brassicaceae.
AGAGGAUGGAAAGCAUGCUGAAGA